Molecule: ribosomal RNA, 447 nt
Filed under: uncultured bacterium
Lineage: Bacteria
Description: partial 16S ribosomal RNA
Rfam family: Bacterial small subunit ribosomal RNA
Source: RNAcentral
ACCAGACUCCUACGGGAGGCAGCAGUGGGGGAUAUUGGACAAUGGGGGGAACCCUGAUCCAGCGAUGCCGCGUGAGGGAAGAAGGUUUUCGGAUUGUAAACCUCUGUGGACAGGGACGAUAAUGACGGUACCUGUCAAGAAAGCCACGGCUAACUACGUGCCAGCAGCCGCGGUAAUACGUAGGUGGCGAGCGUUGUCCGGAUUUACUGGGUGUAAAGGGCGUGUAGGCGGGAAAGCAAGCCAGAUGUGAAAACCAUGGGCUCAACCUGUGGCCUGCAUUUGAAACUGUUUUUCUUGAGUACUGGAGAGGCAGACGGAAUUCCUAGUGUAGCGGUGAAAUGCGUAGAUAUUAGGAGGAACACCAGUGGCGAAGGCGGUCUGCUGGACAGCAACUGACGCUGAGGCGCGAAAGCGUGGGGAGCAAACAGGAUUAGAUACCCCUGUAUG